UGGGGAAUCUUGCGCAAUGGCCGAAAGGCUGACGCAGCGACGCCGCGUGUGGGAGGACGCCCUUCGGGGUGUAAACCACUGUUGCCCGGGACGAAUUCGCCUUUUCGAGGGAGUUGACGGUACCGGGUGAGGAAGCACCGGCUAACUCCGUGCCAGCAGCCGCGGUAAUACGGAGGGUGCGAGCGUUGUCCGGAAUCACUGGGCGUAAAGGGCGCGUAGGCGGCGCGAGAAGUCAACGGUGAAAGCCCGGGGCUCAACCCCGGGUCGGCCGUCGAUACUCUUGGGCUUGAGCACUGUAGAGGCAGGUGGAAUUCCGGGUGUAGCGGUGGAAUGCGUAGAGAUCCGGAAGAACACCGGUGGCGAGGGCGGCCUGCUGGGCAGUGGCUGACGCUGAGGCGCGACAGCGUGGGGAGCAAACAGGAUUAGAUACCCUGGUAGUCCACGCCGUAAACGAUGGGCACUAGGUGCUUGGGGGAGCGACCCUCUGAGUGCCGGCGCUAACGCAUUAAGUGCCCCGCCUGGGGAGUACGGCCGCAAGGCUG
Molecule: ribosomal RNA, 542 nt
Filed under: uncultured bacterium
Lineage: Bacteria
Description: bacterial SSU rRNA
Rfam family: Bacterial small subunit ribosomal RNA
Source: RNAcentral